GAGUUUGAUCUUGGCUCAGGAUGAACGCUAGCGGCAGGCUUAAUACAUGCAAGUCGAGGGGCAUCAGCUUAUAGCAAUAUAGGGCUGGCGACCGGCAAACGGGUGCGGAACCCGUACACAACCUUCCUUUAAGAGGGGGGAUAGCCCAUAGAAAUGUGGAUUAAUACCCCGUAAGAUAGUGGGAUGGCAUCAUACUACUAUUAUAGUUACGACGCUUGAAGAUGGGUGUGCGUCUGAUUAGGUAGUUGGCGGGUAAAGGCCCACCAAGCCUUCGAUCAGUAGCUGAUGUGAGAGCAUGAUCAGCCACACGGGCACUGAGACACGGGCCCGACUCCUACGGGAGGCAGCAGUAAGGAAUAUUGGUCAAUGGACGCAAGUCUGAACCAGCCAUGCCGCGUGAAGGAUGAAGGUCCUCUGGAUUGUAAACUUCUUUUAUAGGGGGCGAAAAAAGGGAAUCUUUCUCACUUGACAGUACCCUAUGAAUAAGCACCGGCUAACUCCGUGCCAGCCGCCGACCGG
Molecule: ribosomal RNA, 519 nt
Filed under: uncultured microorganism
Description: bacterial SSU rRNA
Rfam family: Bacterial small subunit ribosomal RNA
Source: RNAcentral